AACGAACGCUGGCGGCAUGCCUAACACAUGCAAGUCGAACGAGAUCUUCGGGUCUAGUGGCGCACGGGUGCGUAACGCGUGGGAAUCUGCCCUUUGGUUCGGAAUAACAGUUGGAAACGACUGCUAAUACCGGAUGAUGACGAAAGUCCAAAGAUUUAUUGCCAGAGGAUGAGCCCGCGUAGGAUUAGCUAGUUGGUGUGGUAAAGGCGCACCAAGGCGACGAUCCUUAGCUGGUCUGAGAGGAUGAUCAGCCACACUGGGACUGAGACACGGCCCAGACUCCUACGGGAGGCAGCAGUGGGGAAUAUUGGACAAUGGGCGAAAGCCUGAUCCAGCAAUGCCGCGUGAGUGAUGAAGGCCUUAGGGUUGUGAAGCUCUUUUACCCGGGAUGAUAAUGACAGUACCGGGAGAAUAAGCUCCGGCUAACUCCGUGCCAGCCGCCGCAGUAA
Molecule: ribosomal RNA, 449 nt
Filed under: uncultured bacterium
Lineage: Bacteria
Description: partial 16S ribosomal RNA
Rfam family: Bacterial small subunit ribosomal RNA
Source: RNAcentral